ACGGACUUGAAAAAUAAUUGUGACUUUAUAUAUGCAAAUGGGUAUUAACAAACUGAAUUACUAAUUCUGACUCUUUCCUCUGAACUAAAGGGACACAUCGGUUGACGUAACUCCUGUGGAGAAUGGAUUUCAUCUUUUGCUGAAGUUUUGUUCCAGCCAAAGCCGGACCUCUUGAAGGUUGUAGAAAAAGGGGCCUUUGCCCCCCAGUUUCCCUUUAUCACUGUCAAAUGAAGAGAGAGAGACUUCCUUACCUUUCCAGACAAAAUAAAUACAAACAAAGCAGCAAAAGAUUCUCAUAUAUUGUGGAGGUGAUGAGUCUUCUUCCAAUAUUGCUCCUCAGUUUAUUUUGUCCCCUUUACAAUUUGAU
Molecule: long non-coding RNA, 367 nt
Organism: Vidua chalybeata
Lineage: Eukaryota; Metazoa; Chordata; Aves; Passeriformes; Viduidae
Exons: 4
Source: RefSeq, a predicted model, not a curated record